RNAcentral lists this ribosomal RNA (240 nucleotides) under uncultured bacterium. Its description in RNAcentral is "partial 16S ribosomal RNA". It matches the Rfam family "Bacterial small subunit ribosomal RNA", at positions 80 to 334 of the family's 1533-position model. The record is from RNAcentral.
CAAUCCAUGAGUAAAGUGGCGUACGGGUGAGUAACACGUGGAUGAUCUGCCCUAGAGUGGGGAAUAACCAGGGGAAACCUUGGCUAAUACCGCAUAAUCCCGAGGGGGGAAAGCCGAAAGGCGCUCAAGGAGGAGUCCGCGGUCGAUUAGCUAGUUGGUAGGGUAAAGGCCUACCAAGGCAACGAUCGAUAGCCGGCCUGAGAGGGCACACGGCCACACUGGCACUGAAACACGGGCCAG